RNAcentral lists this unclassified non-coding RNA (195 nucleotides) under plant metagenome. RNAcentral's name for it is "partial contains small subunit ribosomal RNA and internal transcribed spacer 1". The stretch from base 1 to 46 matches the Rfam family "Eukaryotic small subunit ribosomal RNA", at positions 1786 to 1831 of the family's 1831-position model. The record is from RNAcentral.
AAGUCGUAACAAGGUUUCCGUAGGUGAACCUGCGGAAGGAUCAUUAGUCAGAAAGUGCUGGGGAAAGACCCAAUGUACUUUUACCCUUGUUUUUUUUACGCACCCAAAGUUUCCUCGGCGGCUUCGUCCGCCGGUUGGACAACAAUCAAACCCCUUGUAGUUGCAGUCAGCGUCGAAUAAACUUAAUAAUUAGAA